CCGUACUAGUUGGGGAGUUAGCGGUGCCCUGUAACCUGCAAUCCGCUCUAGCAGGAAUGAAUUCCUUACCUAGGCUAGUGCUUGUAUGGUCUGGCCUACAUAAGUGGCGUUGACGAUUGGGCCCUGUGCAACAGAGACUUGUGAACCUCGUCAGGUCCGGAAGGAAGCAGCGAUAAGCAAGCCCCUCUGUGUGACGCAGGAUAACCUGAUCCGAGUUAACUGUGUAGGUAACGCUUAUAAGUACUAGUCAAAGUAAGGUGUACGG
This 265-nucleotide signal recognition particle RNA is filed under the name Oceanirhabdus sp. W0125-5. Its description in RNAcentral is "signal recognition particle sRNA large type". It matches the Rfam family "Bacterial large signal recognition particle RNA". Rfam says of the family: The signal recognition particle (SRP) is a universally conserved ribonucleoprotein involved in the co-translational targeting of proteins to membranes. Archaeal SRP consists of a 7S RNA and homologues of the eukaryotic SRP19 and SRP54 proteins. Lineage: Bacteria; Bacillati; Bacillota; Clostridia; Eubacteriales; Clostridiaceae. The record is from RNAcentral.